This 391-nucleotide ribosomal RNA is filed under the name uncultured bacterium. RNAcentral's name for it is "bacterial SSU rRNA". It matches the Rfam family "Bacterial small subunit ribosomal RNA", at positions 28 to 419 of the family's 1533-position model. The record is from RNAcentral.
GAUGAACGCUAGCGGCAGGCUUAACACAUGCAAGUCGAGGGGUAUUGGGAGCUUGCUCCCAAGAGACCGGCGCACGGGUGCGUAACGCGUAUGCAACCUACCUUGAACAGGGGGAUAGCCCAGAGAAAUUUGGAUUAAUACCCCAUGGCAUAUUUGGAUGGCAUCAUCCGAUUAUUAAAGUCACAACGGUUCAAGAUGGGCAUGCGUCCCAUUAGCUUGUUGGUAAGGAACGGCUUACCAAGGCUACGAUGGGUAGGGGUCCUGAGAGGGAGAUCCCCCANACUGGUACUGAGACACGGACCAGACUCCUACGGGAGGCAGCAGUGAGGAAUAUUGGUCAAGUGGCCGCAAAGGCUGAACCAGCCAUGCCGCGUGCAGGAUGAAGCAUCUA